AUGAAAGGCAUUUUUUGGAACAGCAGAGGUCUUAAAGACUUGGCUAAAAGACGUUUUCUAGCAGAAGCUUCUAUUGAACAUCACUUAGACUUUAUUGCUUUGUCCGAAACUGGACGAGGUAAUUUUUCAGCACAAUUUCUUAGCACCUUAGCAGGGGGGGUAGACUUUGAUUGGCAUUGUCUCCCACCUCGAGGAAGAUCCGGUGGGGUUCUACUCGGGGUUAAGUGCGAUACGUUGGAGGUUCGGAGUGUAGUGAUGGGUGAAUUUGCGGUUAAGUUUAGGGUAAGAACGAAAGUUGAUGGUUUUGAUUGGGCUUUGGUGGCAGUCUAUGGGGCUGCGCAACCCGAACUUAAGGAAGAAAAGAAUAAUGACAACUUUGACGGCAGAUGGUCCUUUAUGUUCAAUACUAUCAUAGAGAGCUUGGACCUCAGAGAGAUAGAGCUUUCGGGUAGGAAAUUCACUUGGGCAAACUCAUUACCAGUUCCGACGUUUGAGAAGUUGGACCGUGUUCUGGCAAGUGUUGAGUGGGAACAGAAGUUUCCUCUGGUAACGGUGCAGGCGUUGACACGAGGUAUCUCGGAUCACACACCGCUAUUAGUGGACUCAGGGGCCCCAACUCAUUUGGGUAAUAAGAAUAUUUUCUCUUUCGAACUUGCUUGGUUUGAAAGAGAAGGAUUUAUCGAUCUGUUGGCUAGAGAGUGGGCUAAAGACUCGGGGGGAAGGUCACCCAUGGAGCGGUGGCAAUGCAAGAUUCGUCAUCUGCGAAGGUUCCUUCGUGGAUGGGCUAAGCAUACGAACGGAAUUUAUAAGGCGGAGAAGGAAAGGCUCCUUAUGAUGAUUCACACCCUAGAGUUAAAAGCUGAAACCUCUCUUUUAGAUACCAGAGAGUUGGAGUCUAAAUUGGAGGCCGAGCUAAGGCUGAAAGCGCUUCUUCGUGAGGAGGAAUUGAAGUGGGCUCUCAGAGCUAAGGUUCGCAAGGUUGUCCAAGGUGAGGAUAAUACCCAAUUCUUUCAUAUGAUUGCUAACGGAAAGCAUCGUAAGAAGAGAAUUUUUCAAUUAGAACAAGAUGAAGGAACGAUAGUUGGUCAGGAAAACCUGAAAGUUUACAUUACCAACUACUAUAAGCAGUUAUUUGGACCUCCGGAACGGAGUUUUGUGUCUUUGGAUGAGUCAAGAGUUGAGGAUGUUCCCCAACUUCAGACGGAAGAGAAUGAGAUUUUGACUGCCCCUUUCACGGAGAAGGAGGUGUAUGAGGCCAUUGCACAAAUGAAUAAUAAUAAAGCGCCAGGACCAGAUGGGUUUCCGGCGGAGUUCUACAAAAAGUGCUGGCAUUUCAUUAAACAUGACCUGUUGCUCAUGUUUCAUGAAUUGUUUAAUGGUCAGCUUCAUUUAUUCAAGCUUAAUUUUGGAACAAUAACUCUUCUUCCUAAGAAGACAGAGGCUAUUCGCAUUGAGCAGUUCAGACCCAUUUGUUUGCUUAAUGUAAGUUUCAAAAUUUUCACUAAGGUUGGGACGAACCGACUCACGCAGAUAGCGCAUACGGUGGUGCAACCGUCCCAGACUGCUUUCAUGCCGGAUAGAAAUAUUCUUGAAGGGGUGGUCGUCUUGCAUGAAACGCUCCACGAAAUUCACUCAAAAAAACUUGAUGGGGUGGUUUUUAAAGUGGAUUUUGAAAAAGCAUACGAUAAAGUCAAAUGGCCUUUCCUUCAUCAGGCGUUGCGUAUGAAAGGAUUCGACAAGGCAUGGCGCGACCAAAUUGAUUCCUUUACGCAAAAAGGGAGUGUAGGGAUUAAAGUGAAUGACGAUAUAGGUCACUAUUUCCAGACACAUAAAGGCCUAAGACAGGGGGAUCCAAUGUCACCGAUCUUAUUUAACAUAGUAGCUGAUAUGCUAUCUAUUUUAAUAGGCCGGGCCAAGGAGGCGGGGCAGGUUUCGGGCUUGGUUCCGCACCUAGUUGAUGGAGGUAUAUCCGUUUUGCAGUAUGCUGAUGAUACGAUCAUCUUUAUGGAGCAUGACUUGGUGAAAGCUAGGAAUAUGAAGCUUGUGCUGUGCUUAUUUGAACAAUUGUCUGGACUCAAGAUUAACUUCCACAAGAGCGAGUUGUUUUGCUUUGGAAGAGCUACUGAGGACCAGGUGGCGUAUAAGCAAUUGUUCGGAUGCGAGUUGGGUUCACUACCGUUUACUUACUUGGGCAUUCCCAUUCAUCAUCGUAAGCUUACGAACAAGGAGUGGAAGUGUAUUGAGGAUCGUUUUGAAAAGAAACUAAGCUGUUGGAAAGGGAAGCUCAUGUCAUAUGGAGGUCGAUUAAUUUUGAUUAAUUCAGUUCUCACAAGUAUGCCUAUGUUUCUUCUAUCCUUCUUUGAGAUCCCGGUGGGGGUUAGGAAGAGAUUAGACUUUUAUCGAUCCCGGUUUUUUUGGCAAAACGAUGAGUUGAAACGUAAGUAUAGGCUUGCCAAAUGGGACAUCAUCUGUAGGCCCAAGGACCAAGGCGGUCUAGGCAUUGAAAAUCUAGAGAUCAAGAAUAGAUGUCUCCUUAGCAAGUGGCUUUUUAAACUUUCAUCCGAGACAGAGGCUACUUGGGCACAAAUUCUGCGUAAUAAGUAUCUUCAGUCAAAAACUUUAGCUCAGGUGACGGUGCGCCCAACUGAUUCACCGUUUUGGAAAGGGUUGAUGAGAGUCAAGCCCCUCUUCUUUAACAGGACAAAAAUCUUAGUUGGUGAUGGAGCUACUACGAGGUUCUGGGAGGAUACGUGGCUAGGAGAAACACCUCUGGCACGUUAA
This 2781-nucleotide ribosomal RNA is filed under the name Triticum aestivum (bread wheat). Its description in RNAcentral is "partial small subunit ribosomal RNA". The record is from RNAcentral. Lineage: Eukaryota; Viridiplantae; Streptophyta; Magnoliopsida; Poales; Poaceae.